CAUAAAGCUUUGUUUAAUUUUCUCUUGCUAUUCUGUCUCAUGUGAAUUUAAUUCCUUCUCCUGCCAGACGAACCUACAUUUGGGAAGAGGAAAUGUCUUCCUCACCUACAGUUUUGGUGCAGUCAGCAGGAUAAAAUUUCACUGGCUGGACACUGCUUGCUCCUGGACUGCUGCAGCUGAGAGAUCCUGGACCCCUGACGAGAGCCGGCAAGAGGUGAGAGUUCUUACCAUGUCAGUCUCCCGGAUCUCUGCCUGCAGGCUCCAGUGGAAGCAAGAGUGGACAAUUCACCUGGCAAUUAUGACUACCAGGCAUAAAAGGGAUGCAAUGCUGAGGGACCCCCCACCAUCGCCCCAUGCUAUAGGAACCCCACAGGCAGAACAAGUAGGACACUGCCCUAUGUUCAGGAAAUUUUCAAGGACACAAUUGGAAACAUUGGUUGUAUUACCAAGGCUUUGACUGGAAUGUCAUAUUUGAGAGGAACAUACAGACUCGGAUAUGACAAUACAGCCUUUGAGGAAUAAGGUUCACUUUCUGAAAUAAGCCACUUGGAAAUAUGGGCCUGGUACCUGGUUUACAGAGAUUCUGGCAAUCUUACCUGGCCUAACUUUGGGAGACCACCUGCAUCGCCGCCUUCUAAAAUGACUUUAACUGGACUGAUCUAUUACCAGGACUAAGAAAUGUGUUAAGUGAGAUGAAACAAUCUACCACUCAGAUUCUG
Equus caballus (horse) is the source of this 719-nucleotide non-coding RNA. NCBI's taxonomy places the organism in Eukaryota, Metazoa, Chordata, Mammalia, Perissodactyla, Equidae. The record is from RefSeq and is a predicted model, not a curated record.